CAAGUGUCAAUGAUGCUGGGCCCCGAGGGAGGUGAAGGUUUUGUGGUCAAGCUCCGUGGCCUACCCUGGCCCUGCUCUAUUGAAGACAUGCAGAACUUCCUCUCCAACUGCACAAUUCGUGAUGGGACCACAGGUGUCCACUUCAUCUACACUAGAGAGGGCAGGCAGAGUGGUGAGGCUUUUGUUGAACUUGAAUCAGAAGAUGAUGUAAAAAUGGCCCUGAAAAAAGACAGGGAAAGCAUGGGACACCGGUACAUUGAGGUGUUCAAGUCCCACAGAACCAAGAUGGAUUGUGUGUUGAAGCACAGUGGUCCCAAGAGUGCUGACAGCGCCAACGAUGGCUUCGUCGGACAUCGAGGACUCCCAUUUGGAUUCACAAAGGAAGAAAUUGUCCAGUUCUUCUCACGGUUGGAAAUCAUGCCAAACGGGAUCACAUUACCUGUGGACCCUGAGGGCAAGAUAACAGGGGAAGCUUUUGUACAGUCUGCCUCCCAGGAGUUAGCUGAGAAGGCUCUGGGGAAGCACAAGGAGAGGAUAGGGCACAGAUAUAUAGAAGUGUUCAAGAGCAGUCAGGAGGAAGUUAGGUCAUACUCUGAUCUCCCUCUAAAGUUCUUGUCUGUGCAGCGGCCAGGGCCCUGUGACUGCCCUGGCACAGUUAGGAGAUACAUUGGUAGAAGCAAGCCGGCCUGGAUAGGAUGUAGCCUGGUGCCUACAGUGAAGGCUACAGUGGCUAUAAAAAGUACAGAAGCCUCAGCGAUGGCUACGGCUUCACCACUGACCUAUUUGGAAGAGACCUCAGCUACUGUCUCUCUGGGAUGUAUGACCACAGAUAUGGAGAUGGUGAGUUUGCAGUGCAGAGCACCACUGGGCACUGCACCACAUGAAGGGGCUGCCAUACAUAGAGACGUGAGAAUGACAUUUACAACUUCUUCUCUCCACUCAACCCUGUGAGAAUGCAUAUCGAGAUUGGCCCAGAUGGAAGAGUGACCAGCCAAGCAGAUGUAGAGUUUGCCACUCACGAAGAGGCUGUGGCAACAAUGUCGAAAGACAGGACUAACAUGCAGCACAGAUUCAUAGAGCUCUUCUUGAAUUCAACAACAGGGGCCAGCAGUGCAGCAUACAGCAGCCAGGUGAUGCAAGGCAUGGCGUGUCAGCAGCCCAGGCCACUUACAGUGGGUUGGAGAGCCAGUCAGUCAGUGGCUGCUACGGGGCUGCCUACAGCGGGCAGUACAGCAUGGGUGGGUACGACUAGUUUUGUAGGAACAUUUAACUUUUUUCAAUCAAAUUUUCACAGGCAGCCAACAAGCAAUGAAGAGCAGUUAUAACUCUAGAGGAAGCUGUGGGGACCCGUUUUGCAGCAUGAGUUUGUGAAAUCUGGAUCAAAAAAAUUACCUCUUCAGUGUUUUCUCAUGCAAACUUUUCUUCUAGCAUGUGAUAUUGAGUAAACUAAAACUAUUUUCAGCUUUUCCCAAUUAACAUUCUGGUAGUAUACUUUAGAGUGAUGUUAUUUGAGGUUAAGUAGUUUAAGUAUGUUAAAUAUGGACCUUUUGCCACUACAUCGCAGUGAACACACUGUUGAGACAUGCUUUUUUUGAAAACUCAAAGGUGCUAGCUCCCUGAUUCAAAAAGAAAUAUUUCUCAUGUUCAUUCUAGUUUAUUUUCAUUUAAAAUCUUUUAGGUUAAAUUUAAGCUUUUUAAGAGUUAGUUUUGAGAAUUAAGACACAAUACUAAUACUGCAGGGAUUGGUGAGGCCUUGACUUAAAACUUUCUUUGUACUGUGAUUUCCUUUGGGGUGUAUUUUGCUAAGUGAAACUUGUUAAAUUUUUUUGUUAACUAAAUUUUUUUCUUAAAAUAAAGAUUUUU
Molecule: RNA transcript, 1863 nt
Organism: Otolemur garnettii (small-eared galago)
Lineage: Eukaryota; Metazoa; Chordata; Mammalia; Primates; Galagidae
Gene name: heterogeneous nuclear ribonucleoprotein F-like
Exons: 1
Source: RefSeq, a predicted model, not a curated record